This 115-nucleotide non-coding RNA is filed under the name Lotharella oceanica. Lineage: Eukaryota; Cercozoa; Chlorarachniophyceae. The record is from RNAcentral.
GAAACGCCGAAAAAAAAACCAAAAGGCGACAGAGAGAAACUGGUUGAACGAAUGCGAAUGAUGUAAGGCAUCUCAUUAAUUCUCUUCUUCAUUUUCCUCCUCUUUAUUCUCCUCA